RNAcentral lists this ribosomal RNA (351 nucleotides) under uncultured bacterium. Its description in RNAcentral is "bacterial SSU rRNA". It matches the Rfam family "Bacterial small subunit ribosomal RNA", at positions 1 to 334 of the family's 1533-position model. The record is from RNAcentral.
GCGUUCGUCUUCAGACGUUUUGAUCCUGGCUCAGGAUGAACGCUAGCGUAUAGGCUUAACACAUGCAAGUCAGGGGCAGCAUGAAUAUCGGCUUGCCAAUAUUUGAUUGGCGACCGGCGCACGGGUGAGUAACACGUAUCCAACCUUCCGGUUACUCGGGGAUAGGCUUUCGAAAGAAAGAUUAAUACCCGAUGUUGCGUAUCUUUCUCCUGAAAGAUACGCCAAAGGAUUCCGGUAACCGAUGGGGAUGCGUUCCAUUAGGCAGUUGGCGGGGUAACGGCCCACCAAACCUUCGAUGGAUAGGGGUUCUGAGAGGAAGGUCCCCCACAUUGGAACUGAGACACGGUCCAA